UACAGAGGGUGCAAGCGUUGCUCGGAUUUACUGGGCGUAAAGCGUACGCAGACGGUGAGAAAGGUCGGAUGUGAAAGCCCCGGGCUCAACCCUGGAACUGCAUCCGAAACCAUCUCGCUAGAGUAUGAGAGAGGGAAGCAGAAUUCCUGGUGUAGAGGUGAAAUUCGUAGAUAUCAGGAGGAAUACCUGCGGCGAAGGCGGCUCACUGGCCCGAUACUGACGCUGAGGCACGAAAGCGUGGGGAGCAAACAGG
RNAcentral lists this ribosomal RNA (253 nucleotides) under uncultured bacterium. RNAcentral describes it as "partial 16S ribosomal RNA". It matches the Rfam family "Bacterial small subunit ribosomal RNA", at positions 524 to 776 of the family's 1533-position model. The record is from RNAcentral.